UUUUAGGUCCUCCUGGCCCCAGGGGUCCAAAAGGCGACCGAGGGCAGCAGGGCCCCCCCAGGUCCCACUGGCAACAAGGGACAGAAAGGAGAGAAGGGGGAGCCCGGGCCGCCGGGCCCCGCCGGCUGCCCGCCUCACUGGAAGAACUUCACGGACAAAUGCUACUAUUUUUCGGUUGAGAAAGAAAUUUUUGAGGAUGCAAAACUUUUCUGUGAAGAGAGGUCCUCACACCUUGUUUUCAUAAACUCGAGAGAAGAACAGCAAUGGAUAAAAAAGCAGAUGGUAGGGAGAGACAGCCACUGGAUUGGCCUCACUGACUCGGAGCAGGAAAACGAAUGGAAGUGGCUGGACGGGAUGUCUCCAGAGUACAAAAAUUGGAAACCUGGACAGCCAGACAACUGGGGUCACGGCCACGGGCCAGGAGAAGACUGCGCUGGGCUGAUUUAUGCUGGACAGUGGAACGAUUUCCAGUGUGAAGACGUCAAUAACUUCAUUUGUGAAAAAGACAGGGAGACAGGUAAGCCGUGAAGGGGAUUUGAGAGAGA
Vicugna pacos (alpaca) is the source of this 545-nucleotide non-coding RNA. The record is from RefSeq and is a predicted model, not a curated record. NCBI's taxonomy places the organism in Eukaryota, Metazoa, Chordata, Mammalia, Artiodactyla, Camelidae.